Molecule: ribosomal RNA, 253 nt
Filed under: uncultured bacterium
Lineage: Bacteria
Description: partial 16S ribosomal RNA
Rfam family: Bacterial small subunit ribosomal RNA
Source: RNAcentral
UACGAGAGGUGCAAGCGUCGUUCGGAAUCAUUGGGCGUAAAGCGCACGUAGGCGGGUUCGUAUGUUAAUUGUGAAAUCCCUGGGCUCAACCUAGGAAUUGCAGUUGGUACUGCGAAUCUUGAAUACCUGAGAGGGUGGGAGAAUUCCUGGUGGAGUAGUGAAAUACGUAGAGAUCAGGAGGAAUACCGGAGGCGAAGGCGCCUGCCUGGCAGUGUAUUGACGCUGAGGCGCGAAAGCCAGGGGAGCAAACGGG